AUUCAAAUGUUAAUUCUCUGUAAAUAUGGUGACAUUGUAUACAAACUAUACAAACAAAUGAGAACUGACAUGGAACUGACAGACUUAACCGGUCUACCAUUAGAUGUUGCCAAGUUUCAACUUCAUGGCUUGUUAAGUAAAGGUGGCUAACGAGAAGCUGGACAGCCUAAGUCUGACGUCACAAAUGUCACAAAAUUGGGAGGAGUUAGGAGUUUAUAUUGGGUGCAUUCAGCAGACACAAUCGCUAACUAAUCGAUUAGUGAUUUUCUGCUGAAUGCCACAUAAAUUGUGACAUUCAGCAUGUAAAUCACAAAUCGAUUACUAAUCGAUUAGUUAGCGAUUGCGUCUGCUGAAUGCACCCAUUGGCUCCAAACAAUUUUGAUUGUAAGGUUAAAUGGUCAUAAGACAUUUUUCAUUUAUGUGCUUUGUGUGGCAAAAUAAGACUUCAUUUACGUAUUUUGUUAAAGAAACGUGUUAAUUAAGAGAUUUUUAUUCGUUUUUGCUCAGGUGGUUUUUAUUCCUUAGUGAUUGAAAAUAAACAUAACCUCAACACUGUUUACAUUCUAAUCAUUGCAAUAAAUUAACUCACCUGAGCCAAAACGAAUAAAAAUCUCUUAAUUGGCACGUUUCUUUAACUAAAUACCUAAAUGAAAAGUCUUCUUUUGUCACACAAACUACGUAAACAAUAAAUUAAAAAUUCCUUAUGAGUGUUUAACAUUACAAACAAAAUUGUUUGGAGCCAAAUAUAAGCUCCUCCCAAUUUUGUGACGUCAAGACUUAGGAAGUCCAUUCGCACACUUGAUCCAACGUUGCCAAGUCACUAAAAUCUCAAUAUUUGACACCAAUUUGACAAUUGACAGAUUAUCUUGUAAAUAGUAAAUAGUAUCCUCCUAUCCUAACAAAACAAAGUCGGGAAGAAUGGAUUAGAUUAAUGGAUAUGUAAAAGCCAUAAGGAGAACAGAACUAAAAUUAAAAUAUGAAAGAAUAUGCAAUAAACAUUGUAUAAGUGGAAAGCCAGCCACUUUAAAAAGAUAUUUCAAACCAAAACAUGGGUUACCAAAGCAGGUAAUAAAAAGAAAAGGUGAUCUAGAAUGCAAGAGAAGAGCUGAUGAAAGAAGUAAAUGUAAAGAAAAUAAUGAAGAGACAUCUCUGGACCAUGAACAAACACCAGAUAUUUUAUAUAUGUAGAAAACGGAAAAACUGCUGGAACUUUAAUUUAAAGGCUUUUGACUAGUGAAGAUUUGGAUAAAACAACAGGAGUUACUUUGGGCUAUAGCUACGUGCAAAUUUAUUUUCUUGUGGCUUCCUAUGUUUGUUCUUAUUAACUAUAUCUACACUUUGAUAUGUUUUUAGUCGCAUGAAGAUUUUAUAGUUUAUUAUUUUAUGUAUAUUGUUAUAUUUGUGUUGAAUAAACAUUAUUAUUAUUA
Molecule: long non-coding RNA, 1427 nt
Organism: Diabrotica virgifera virgifera (western corn rootworm)
Lineage: Eukaryota; Metazoa; Arthropoda; Insecta; Coleoptera; Chrysomelidae
Exons: 3
Source: RefSeq, a predicted model, not a curated record